Molecule: long non-coding RNA, 840 nt
Filed under: Homo sapiens (human)
Lineage: Eukaryota; Metazoa; Chordata; Mammalia; Primates; Hominidae
Description: long intergenic non-protein coding RNA 1681
Source: RNAcentral
GCUCCCUGAUGGGAGUAUUCAUGGUUAGAGUCUCAGUCUCUAUUACGGGCCCUAGUACACUUCAGGAACUCAAAAGCUUUGCUGAUAUAAUGCAAGGUGAUAAAAAAGUAGAAAGACUUGGGAUAAUCUUGAUUUCUGAAGGCAUCAAACGGGAAUUAGAGAAAGCAGCAGGAAAAACGAAGGCCUUUUUAAGUUCCAUGAGAACUACGGUUUGCAAGACUGGUCAAAACAGUACAAUGCAAGCGGCAAGAAUCAGGAAGUGCACAGAAACAAGAAGCUCGGUGCACACUGGGAUCAGGCAAGCAUCUGGGAGAAGACUGUAGCAAGACUGGAUCCUGAGAGUGUUUCAAUUGAAUAUUGCAACUGAAGACAUUCACUCUGCGUUGAUCACCUAUGGAGUGAUCAAAUUUCAACCCUUUGAAGUUUCCUAAAUGAAAGAGGCACUCUGAAUUCAAAGGCUGUUUGAAUGAACUGACUGCUUCAGCACUGUCUUGUAGAUAUAGUCCAUUCAAAUAAAAGACAAAUAUCUGACUGAAUUUUGUUAGCACGUUAAGACAUGUAUUAUAAAAAGGUUUAAGAAGAAAAUAAUGGCCACAAUUCUUCAGAAAACAUGUGAACUAAUGUGACAAAACACUGUGGUGUUGCAAACUCAAGUGCUGCUCUGGCCAAGUCACCUCGCUGAAAUCUCCACUUCCACUUGUGCAACCUACCAAGCCACUCUCUACACAGCUGCCAGAGUGAUUACAAAAACAACGCGGGAUUAUGCUACCCCUGCUUAUCUAAAAUUUGUCAAAAUGCCCGUUACACUUUGAAUAAAAUACAGAUUCCUCUCAGAUCUCA